Molecule: unclassified non-coding RNA, 378 nt
Filed under: plant metagenome
Description: partial contains 5.8S ribosomal RNA, internal transcribed spacer 2, and large subunit ribosomal RNA
Rfam family: 5.8S ribosomal RNA (bases 1-105)
Source: RNAcentral
GAAAUGCGAUAAGUAAUGUGAAUUGCAGAAUUCAGUGAAUCAUCGAAUCUUUGAACGCAUCUUGCGCUCCUUGUUAUUCCUUGGAGCAUGCCUGUUUGAGUAUCAUGAAAUCUUCAAAGUAAAUCUUUUGUUAACUCAAUUGGUUUCUACUUUGGUAUUGGAGGUCUUUGCAGCUUCACACCUGCUCCUCUUUGUUCAUUAGCUGGAUCUCAGUGUUAUGCUUGGUUCCACUCGGCGUGAUAAGUUAUCUAUCGCUGAGGACACUGUAAAAGGUGGCCAAGGUAAAUUCAGAUGAACCGCUUCUAAUAGUCCAUUGACUUGGACAAUACUUUUAUGAUCUGAUCUCAAAUCAGGUAGGACUACCCGCUGAACUUAAGC